Molecule: ribosomal RNA, 497 nt
Filed under: uncultured bacterium
Lineage: Bacteria
Description: partial 16S ribosomal RNA
Rfam family: Bacterial small subunit ribosomal RNA
Source: RNAcentral
GAUGAACGCUGGCGGCGUGCCUAAUACAUGCAAGUCGAGCGAACAGACGAGGAGCUUGCUCCUCUGACGUUAGCGGCGGACGGGUGAGUAACACGUGGAUAACCUACCUAUAAGACUGGGAUAACUUCGGGAAACCGGAGCUAAUACCGGAUAAUAUAUUGAACCGCAUGGUUCAAUAGUGAAAGACGGUUUUGCUGUCACUUAUAGAUGGAUCCGCGCCGCAUUAGCUAGUUGGUAAGGUAACGGCUUACCAAGGCAACGAUGCGUAGCCGACCUGAGAGGGUGAUCGGCCACACUGGAACUGAGACACGGUCCAGAAUCCUACGGGAGGCAGCAGUAGGGAAUCUUCCGCAAUGGGCGAAAGCCUGACGGAGCAACGCCGCGUGAGUGAUGAAGGUCUUCGGAUCGUAAAACUCUGUUAUUAGGGAAGAACAAAUGUGUAAGUAACUGUGCACGUCUUGACGGUACCUAAUCAGAAAGCCACGGCUAACUACGUG